Molecule: non-coding RNA, 171 nt
Filed under: pig gut metagenome
Description: 6S / SsrS RNA
Rfam family: 6S / SsrS RNA
About the family: E. coli 6S RNA was the first non coding RNA to be sequenced, but its function was unknown until recently. It consists of 184 nucleotides that fold into an extended hairpin structure with a large single-stranded internal bulge. The 6S RNA specifically associates with RNA polymerase holoenzyme containing the sigma70 specificity factor.
Source: RNAcentral
GGCCUGAGGCGUACGAUAAUUCCCUUAAUUUUGAACCUACAUUCAUUGAUACGGGAGUUUUAUAUUUCGUGGUGGAUUGUCAAGCCUCCAUAGCAGUGGAAGACAGGAAGCCAGAUGCGGACACCCACCUAGCUAUGCUAGGAGUCAAAAGAGGGAACCGGCAUUUUGGGC